AGAGUUUGAUCCUGGCUCAGGAUGAACGCUGGCGGCGUGCCUAAUACAUGCAAGUAGAACGCUGAAGCUUGGUGCUUGCACCGAGCGGAUGAGUUGCGAACGGGUGAGUAACGCGUAGGUAACCUGCCUGGUAGCGGGGGAUAACUAUUGGAAACGAUAGCUAAUACCGCAUAACAGUAGAUAUUGCGUGAUAUCUGCUUGAAAGGUGCAAUUGCAUCACUACCAGAUGGACCUGCGUUGUAUUAGCUAGUUGGUGAGGUAACGGCUCACCAAGGCGACGAUACAUAGCCGACCUGAGAGGGUGAUCGGCCACACUGGGACUGAGACACGGCCCAGACUCCUACGGGAGGCAGCAGUAGGGAAUCUUCGGCAAUGGGGGGAACCCUGACCGAGCAACGCCGCGUGAGUGAAGAAGGUUUUCGGAUCGUAAAGCUCUGUUGUAAGAGAAGAACGAGUGUGAGAGUGGAAAGUUCACACUGUGACGGUAUCUUACCAGAAAGGGACGGCUAACUACGUGCCAGCAGCCGCGGU
Molecule: ribosomal RNA, 531 nt
Filed under: unidentified oral bacterium AP60-45
Lineage: Bacteria
Description: bacterial SSU rRNA
Rfam family: Bacterial small subunit ribosomal RNA
Source: RNAcentral